UCUGGGAAAGAUUCAUCGGUAUGGGAUGGGGUCGCGUCCUAUCAGCUUGAUGGCGGGGUAACGGCCCACCAUGGCUUCGACGGGUAGCCGGCCUGAGAGGGCGACCGGCCACAUUGGGACUGAGAUACGGCCCAGACUCCUACGGGAGGCAGCAGUGGGGAAUAUUGCACAAUGGGCGCAAGCCUGAUGCAGCGACGCCGCGUGCGGGAUGACGGCCUUCGGGUUGUAAACCGCUUUUGACUGGGAGCAAGCCCUUCGGGGUGAGUGUACCUUUCGAAUAAGCACCGGCUAACUACGUGCCAGCAGCCGCGGUAAU
This 316-nucleotide ribosomal RNA is filed under the name Bifidobacterium adolescentis. Its description in RNAcentral is "bacterial SSU rRNA". It matches the Rfam family "Bacterial small subunit ribosomal RNA", at positions 197 to 524 of the family's 1533-position model. Lineage: Bacteria; Bacillati; Actinomycetota; Actinomycetes; Bifidobacteriales; Bifidobacteriaceae. The record is from RNAcentral.